Molecule: ribosomal RNA, 620 nt
Filed under: uncultured bacterium
Lineage: Bacteria
Description: bacterial SSU rRNA
Rfam family: Bacterial small subunit ribosomal RNA
Source: RNAcentral
GAGUGGCGAACGGGUGAGUAAUAUAUCGGAACGUGCCCAAUCGUGGGGGAUAACGUAGAGAAAUUUACGCUAAUACCGCAUACGAUCCAAGGAUGAAAGCGGGGGAUUCGCAAGAACCUCGCGCGAUUGGAGCGGCUGAUAUCAGAUUAGGUUGUUGGUGAGGUAAAAGCUCACCAAGCCGACGAUCUGUAGCUGGUUUGAGAGAACGACCAGCCACACUGGGACUGAGACACGGCCCAUCACUCCUACGGGAGGCAGCAGUGGGGAAUUUUGGACAAUGGGCGAAAGCCUGAUCCAGCAAUGCCGCGUGCAGGAAGAAGGCCUUCGGGUUGUAAACUGCUUUUGUACGGAAUGAAACGGUCUGCUUUAAUAAAGCGGGCUAAUGACGGUACCGUAAGAAUAAGCACCGGCUAACUACGUGCCAGCAGCCGCGGUAAUACGUAGGGUGCGAGCGUUAAUCGGAAUUACUGGGCGUAAAGCGUGCGCAGGCGGUUAUGUAAGACAGUUGUGCAAUCCCCGGGCUCAACCUGGGAAUUGCAUCUGUGACUGCAUAGCUAGAGUACGGUAGAGGGGGAUGGAAUUCCGCGUGUAGCAGUGAAAUGCGUAGAUAUGCGGAGGAA